GGGCCCGUGGUGUAAUAGAAACAUCUUGGUGUUGGUACCCAAGGAAGCGAGUGCGAUUCUCGUCGGGUCCA
This 71-nucleotide transfer RNA is filed under the name Patescibacteria group bacterium. RNAcentral's name for it is "tRNA-OTHER". The record is from RNAcentral.